AUCUAAAGUUUGGAGUGAUUCUAAUCUUGCAUCAUCUGGUAUCAGAGCUUCAAAAGCUCCUACCCCCAAGGUUGUAUCUUUUCAGCCUAUAUUUGUUUUUCUAUUUUUCUUAUUAUUUUUAUUUUAUAUAUAAAAAAAAAUCAAAUAAAUUUUUAUUCCUUGCUUUAAUCUUGUUAUUUGCUUCAGUAUUUUAUCAAAAAAAAAUUGUUUUACUUCAUUUUCUUAUUUAUUUCGGAUUUAUUAAAAGAAAAGCCAUAAAAAUCAUAAUUUUUGUUAUUCAAAAUAUAAUUUUGAAUUGUAUUUUUAUAAAACCAGAAAAGAAAAUAAAAAGUGAAUUUUUUCCCUUUUUGCUAUUUGAAUUUUUCGGAUUUACCAAAAAAAAAAAAAUAUUCAUUUCUAUUUUUUUAAAUAUUUUCCUUAUUUGUUGAUUUACUUUUUGAUACAUCUUUCUUUUGCUUGUGCAAGAUUCUUCUUUCACGAAGACCAGAGCAAAUAUGGAGUUUAUUGAGUUUUACUCAGAUGAAAAACUUCAAGAAGAAGAGCCCUAUCA
This 550-nucleotide long non-coding RNA is filed under the name Capsella rubella. Its description in RNAcentral is "long non-coding RNA (CRUB_LNC002145)". The record is from RNAcentral. Lineage: Eukaryota; Viridiplantae; Streptophyta; Magnoliopsida; Brassicales; Brassicaceae.